Molecule: small RNA, 162 nt
Filed under: Streptomyces sp.
Lineage: Bacteria; Bacillati; Actinomycetota; Actinomycetes; Kitasatosporales; Streptomycetaceae
Description: c-di-AMP sequence
Rfam family: c-di-AMP riboswitch aptamer (ydaO/yuaA leader)
About the family: This family represents a conserved RNA structure found upstream of the ydaO and yuaA genes in Bacillus subtilis and related genes in other bacteria. The ydaO/yuaA element is thought to act as a genetic "off" switch for the ydaO and yuaA genes in its native state.
Source: RNAcentral
CGUCCGGAAAACCUAAUCCCACUCACUUACGGCAGGAGCGGGGGACCCAAGGUAAGCCGCCGGUCCGUAAACAGGACCGGCUAGGGGUGAAGCCACAUUCAUGUGGCCGGACAUCUCCAGUCCGAACCCGACAGCUCACCUCGCAGGCGACGGAGAGGAAUU